CUCUAUUGUUGUUGUUUCUCUCUUCUACUUCAGAGAAAAAUGUAUACUACUUUGGCGAGGGGGCUUUCGUUUCGGCAAGAUUGCUCAACUUUCUUCUUAGUAAAAACGGUACACAAUAGGGAUCUCGGGUGGUGAGAGGAAACGUGUGAGCAUAGCUCACGAGGUACUCAUCAACCUGAGCCUUUUGGUUCUUGAUGAGCCCACGUCGGGGCUUGACGCGACGGCGGCUCUCCGGUUGGUUCAGACGCUAGCCGGGAUGGCUCAUGGGAAAGGGAAGACGGUGGUGACGUCUAUUCACCAGCCGUCGAGGCGUGCGUUUCAGAUGUUUGAUACUGUGCUGCUUUUGAGUGAAGGGAGGUGUUUGUUCUACGGUAAAGGACGUGACGCCAUGGCUUACUUCGACUCCGUCAGAUUCUCGCCGGCGUUUCCAAUGAAUCCGGCUGACUUCCUUCUCGAUCUUGCUAACGUGUAACACUAACACGUAAUACGGAAGGUGAACCCUCGGGAUGAAUCGGUGAGUUCGGUAACGGAAGUUACUUGAUGUCAUCGUCCGGUUACUUCGGCGGUUGGAUAAGUGAUGGAAGUUGUGAGAAGGAAGAGAGAGAUCAAGAUCGAACGGUUCAGGUGCGUCGUGGACAUUGCUUGAUUUGGUGAGAGAGAUAGCAAGUUUUUGUUGAAGAAGGAAAAGUUCAAACUUUGUGGGAAAGAGGGAAGUAAAGCAAAUUGGGAUUUUAAUGCAAUGCAGAAGAUGCACAUGAAUAGACGUUAAUUAGUUCGUUUUGUGGUUCAUUUUCAUAGACAUAAAUAUUGUACGUGAUACAUUCCGAUCGAUUUAUUUCACUUUCUAUUGCUGUCUACCUGAUUAUUUAUAGUACGUAAGAAAAUGAUUGGUUUUAAGUAUUUUACAUGAAAGUGUAGAACGUGUAUACAACUAAACAAACCAAUACAAGAAAACAAGAACGUGUAUUGAGCGGUUACGUGGAUCUUAAGCUAUCUAUCUGGUCUUUAUUAGUUUCCAUGGGCUAAAAAUGAUUCCACCAAAACUAUUUAUAAAUAAGAACUGAGACUGGUCUCAGUUUAUCGACAAAAAGGUAUUACAUGUAUUCAAAAUAAUUACAAUUUGCAUAUAAAUUAAUAGCAAAAAAUAACCAGAAAAAAUCGACGAAGAGCAAAUUGAUAAUUUUAUCAUAGACCACACGUAAAAAUUGGAGGAUGAAAUUUGUGAAGUCUCAAAGUUUUUUCGUUUAUUCAGUUUAAAAUAAAAGAAAUAUUAAACAAAAAACUAAUCAAAAAUUUAAUCACAUUCAUGCAGAUGUUUUUAUUUUCCAAUGAACUUAAUUUAAGAAUAACUAUGCUUUUACUUUUAUAUGAUAUUAUUUGCUCAUACCACUGUCAAUUUUGAAGCAAAAUUUUAUUUUAACAUAGCUCAUUUGUCUUUUGAUAAAAUUUAUGGUUGUUAUUUAUUAUUGUACACAUUUUAAUUAGAAUAUUUUUAUUUUAUAUUUGAAAGAGAAAUGAAUAUUCAUUUCUAACAAAAUAUUUUAAAACUAUGUCUAAAAGAUGAGAUAUAUAAGAGUCAAGAAAAAAAUUCUACACAACAACACUAAGGAAAUAUCAAAAUAUUAAAAUAUAGAUUUAUGUAGAGUUCCCCAAGAAAGAGAACAACACCAAAAAAAUCAAAGCUGUUUUUCUCCAUUAUUGUUUUAGUCUGUUUAGUAUUAAAAAAAUAAUUCUCAAGUGAAAAACAAACUUAAAUAUUAUAAUACAUAAUAUGCACAUAUAAAUUAAAAACUCUAUGUAAAAAUAGAAAAAUAUGUAUAAUAUUAACUUUUAAAAAUUUUAUUCUGUCAAAAAAUAAUUUUGAGACAAAAAUCUUUUCAUAUCUCAUAAUUAA
Brassica rapa (field mustard) is the source of this 1894-nucleotide long non-coding RNA. RefSeq lists it as uncharacterized. The record is from RefSeq and is a predicted model, not a curated record. NCBI's taxonomy places the organism in Eukaryota, Viridiplantae, Streptophyta, Magnoliopsida, Brassicales, Brassicaceae.